Molecule: long non-coding RNA, 145 nt
Organism: Telopea speciosissima
Lineage: Eukaryota; Viridiplantae; Streptophyta; Magnoliopsida; Proteales; Proteaceae
Exons: 3
Source: RefSeq, a predicted model, not a curated record
GCAGCAUCCGAUGGGGCCGCUCCUUCUGGCUGACGCAACUGGGGCAUGCUUUAUCUGCUUCUUCAGCUCAUUGAUCUCGUCCUGGAUCGUCCUUACGCUACGCCAUUGCCAACCAGACACCAAGCCCACAGCGUAUUGAAGAACA